This is a long non-coding RNA of Bolinopsis microptera, 668 nucleotides long. RefSeq lists it as uncharacterized. The transcript has 3 exons. Lineage: Eukaryota; Metazoa; Ctenophora; Tentaculata; Lobata; Bolinopsidae. The record is from RefSeq and is a predicted model, not a curated record.
UGGUACCACGUGUUACUGCCAGCUGGUUCGAUAGUUGGACUCUAUUACGGAGCUACAAGGUUCCUCAUUCUCAAGGAUUACCACCGCUUCGGAAAGAGUUUCCCGGAUAAUGACAGAUCGGAGAUGGGAUGGGUAACCAGAGGCAGAGAUUUCAGGAUUACCGGCAGGCCCCUCGGUCAAAAGCUGUACGACUACGAACAUUAGUAUUGUGUUAAGGAGACACCAGCAGCCAUCGGAGAUAUGUACACAGUGAUAGCCCAGCCCUUCACCCCCGCUACGUGAAUUUUAAAUCUGCUAUAAUGAUAAUUAUGGAUCAUCAUUCAUUAUGCGUUGAAUAAAUUUGCAGAGAUUUAAUUUAAGCUUUUUUACGUUGUCCUAUACUUCGAGUAAUAUUAAAUUAAUGAGAAUUAGUAGACUAUACUUUGUACUGGAUGUUUAUCGUAUAAUCCUCUGAUCCUAUGUCGAACUGUUAUAGACGGUAUAUGGUAUUAGACCCAUGUCGUGGAAUGUUUUCUAAGUUUCUAAUUGAGCUCUAGAUGUAAAUAGCUAGGAUGGCCAAGUUAUUAAGUUAAGUUAUUCAUUCUAAUUGGUAUUACGUAUUACAUAAAUAUCUUUAUUUUUAAAAUGUUUUGUGCUCGAAAACGGCUUUAACAUUUCUGGAUACUGAA